Molecule: long non-coding RNA, 836 nt
Filed under: Lathyrus oleraceus (garden pea)
Lineage: Eukaryota; Viridiplantae; Streptophyta; Magnoliopsida; Fabales; Fabaceae
Description: Pisum sativum (pea) long non-coding RNA (PSAT_LNC016505)
Source: RNAcentral
CAAGUUCUUAUACUUCUUCAAUAGUUGUGACCUUCAUAUCAAACUUAUUGUGAAGAGAUCUUAGGGUUUUUCUAGCAAGCUUUUGUUCAUACAUGUUUUCGCCCAAUGUAAAGGAAGAAUUGGCAAUGUCGCAUAAUAUGAUGUUAAAGUCAUAAAUAGAUUUAUCUUCAUUAAUUAUAAUAUUCUGAAACUUUGUAGUGAGGAGUUGCAGCCUUGACAUCAUAACCUUGGAUGUGCCUUCAUGAGCAGUUUGGAGAAUCUCUCAUGCAUCUUUGGCUUCAAUAUAUGUGUUGAUCAAUCUAAACAUGUUCUUGUCAACACCAUUGAAAAUAAAAUUGAAUCCUUGGAGUUUCCAAGAGCUUAAUUAUCUUUUGCAUUAGUCCACUCAGCUUCUAGCUUUAAGCUUGACAUACCAUCUUAAGAAAUAUUCACAUGGUGUUUCUAGCCUUUUACAUUACCUUCCAUGUUUUCUCGUCCAUGGAUUUGAGAAAAGAAACCAUCUUUGCUUUCCAAUAAUCAUAAUUUGUGUCAUCCAAGAUAGGUGGUAUGUUGAUUGACCCUCCAUCCUUACUCAUAUCCAUUUAAACAGAAAAUAUCUUCCCUAGAGCUCACCCCAAACAGAACAAGGUGACUGCUCUGAUACCAAUUAAAAUUUUGUUCCUGAGGGGACAGAUGUUGGACACAAUAUUGGGAUAACUGGCCCAACUUAUUAAACCAGUAUGAUAUCAAUAUAACAACAACAAUAACAUAAUAUAGACAUCAAUAAAAUGAAAUAAGAGAUUGGUAACCUAUUUCAGUGUAACCACACCUACGUCUAAGGGGCAUUCUACCCAACA